RNAcentral lists this ribosomal RNA (430 nucleotides) under bacterium. Its description in RNAcentral is "partial 16S ribosomal RNA". It matches the Rfam family "Bacterial small subunit ribosomal RNA", at positions 355 to 776 of the family's 1533-position model. The record is from RNAcentral.
UGGGGAAUAUUGGACAAUGGGCGGAAGCAUGAUCCAGCCAUGCCGCGUGUGUGAAGAAGGCCUUUUGGUUGUAAAGCACUUUAAGCGAGGAGGAGGCUACUUGGAUUAAUACUCUAGGAUAGUGGACGUUACUCGCAGAAUAAGCACCGGCUAACUCUGUGCCAGCAGCCGCGGUAAUACAGAGGGUGCGAGCGUUAAUCGGAUUUACUGGGCGGAAAGCGUGGGUAGGCGGCUGCUGAAGUCGGAUGUGAAAUCCCUGGGCUUAACUUAGGAAUUGCAUUCGAUACUGGGAAGCUAGAGUAUGGGAGAGGAUGGUAGAAUUCCAAGGGUAUCGGUGAAAUGCGUACAGAUCUGGGAGAAUACCGAUGGCGAAAGCAGGCAUCUGGCCUAAUAAUGACGCUGAGGUACGAAAGCAUGGGGAGCAAACAGG